RNAcentral lists this ribosomal RNA (868 nucleotides) under Verticillium dahliae. RNAcentral describes it as "LSU rRNA". It matches the Rfam family "Eukaryotic large subunit ribosomal RNA", at positions 75 to 966 of the family's 3401-position model. Lineage: Eukaryota; Fungi; Ascomycota; Sordariomycetes; Glomerellales; Plectosphaerellaceae. The record is from RNAcentral.
UUGCCUUAGUAACGGCGAGUGAAGCGGCAACAGCUCAAAUUUGAAAUCUGGCUCCUUCGGGGUCCGAGUUGUAAUUUGCAGAGGAUGCUUCGAGUUAUGGUUCCUUCCGAGUUCCCUGGAACGGGACGCCAUAGAGGGUGAGAGCCCCGUCUGGUAGGAAACCAUGCUCAUGUGAAGCUCCCUCGACGAGUCGAGUAGUUUGGGAAUGCUGCUCUAAGGGGAGGUAUACUCCUUCCAAGGCUAAAUACCGGCUAGAGACCGAUAGCGCACAAGUAGAGUGAUCGAAAGAUGAAAAGUACUUUGAAAAGAGAGUCAAACAGCACGUGAAAUUGUUAAAAGGGAAGCGCUCGCUACCAGACGUGGGUUCGGUGGUUCAACCAGGUCCAUGACCUGGGGCACUCCGCCGGCCCAGGCCAGCAUCAGCUUUCCGUCGGGGGCAAAGGCGUCGGGAAUGUGGCUCUCCUUCGGGGGAGUGUUAUAGCCCGUCGCGUCAUACCCUUCGGGGGGCUGAGGUACGCGCUCCGCAAGGAUGCUGGCGUAAUGGUAGCUAGUGACCCGUCUUGAAACACGGACCAAGGAGUCAACCUUAUGUGCGAGUGCCCGGGCGUAAAACCCCAGCGCGGAAUGAAAGUGAACGUAGGUGAGAGCUUCGGCGCAUCACCGACCGAUCCUGAUGUCCUCGGACGGAUUUGAGUGAGAGCAUAUAGGGUUGGACCCGAAAGAAGAUGAACUAUGCGUGUGUAGGGUGAAGCCAGAGGAGACUCUGGUGGAGGCUCGCAGCGGUUCUGACGUGCAAAUCGAUCGUCAAACAUGCGCAUGGGGGGCGAAAGACUAAUCGAAUCUUCUGGUAGCUGGGUUUCCGCCGAAG